UACAGAGGGUGCGAGCGUUGUCCGGAAUCACUGGGCGUAAAGGGCGCGUAGGCGGCUUGAUAAGCGUGCGGUGAAAGCCCGGGGCUCAACCCCGGGUCGGCCGUGCGAACUGUCGAGCUGGAGCACUGUAGAGGCAGGUGGAAUUCCGGGUGUAGCGGUGGAAUGCGUAGAGAUCCGGAAGAACACCGGUGGCGAAGGCGGCUCACUGGCCCGUAACUGACGCUCAUGCACGACAGCGUGGGGAUCAAACAGG
Molecule: ribosomal RNA, 253 nt
Filed under: uncultured bacterium
Lineage: Bacteria
Description: partial 16S ribosomal RNA
Rfam family: Bacterial small subunit ribosomal RNA
Source: RNAcentral